CAUGGCUACUUUGAGUACUCAGAUUCAGAUGUCAUCUUUUUGGCUGACCAGACUAAUAAUCACCGUGUAAUUUAAUUACUCAGUCAGCAUCAAUGAACUCUUCUGCUGUGCAUUGAGUUACAAUUUUUGAAUACCAGCUUCGUGGGCAGGUCCUGGCUCUGGAAGUUGUAGUUAUCCAGAUGCGGGUCAUAACCUCAGCUGUGCUUUGUGAAGCUACUCAGCCGUGGAAUUAGCUCCAGGGGUGCUUGUGCGUGUGAACCCGUCCUGCAUGGUCCACCCGUCAGCUAUGGCAGCCUGUUCAUUUCCGCCAAAGAGCACAUUGUCCCUACUGUCACCUCUCCUUUUCUUUCAUUCUCCUGCCACCUGGUAUGAUACCAUUUUCUAGGCCUAGAAAACCUCCCAUCUUGGAAUGAUAGGAAUUUU
This 423-nucleotide long non-coding RNA is filed under the name Bos taurus (domestic cattle). Its description in RNAcentral is "long non-coding RNA NONBTAT015208". The record is from RNAcentral. Lineage: Eukaryota; Metazoa; Chordata; Mammalia; Artiodactyla; Bovidae.